AUUUAAAUAGUUUAAUUAAAAAUAUUGAUUUGUGGUGUCAAAGAUGUGGAUUUUCACUUUAGAUA
Molecule: transfer RNA, 65 nt
Filed under: Bullanga florida
Lineage: Eukaryota; Metazoa; Arthropoda; Insecta; Neuroptera; Myrmeleontidae
Description: tRNA-His
Rfam family: tRNA
About the family: Transfer RNA (tRNA) molecules are approximately 80 nucleotides in length.
Source: RNAcentral